GCGGGUGUAAUUCAGUGGUAGAAUGUCAGCUUCCCAAGCUGGACGUCGCCGGUUCGAAUCCGGUCACCCGCU
RNAcentral lists this transfer RNA (72 nucleotides) under Prochlorococcus sp. RNAcentral describes it as "tRNA-Gly". It matches the Rfam family "tRNA". Rfam says of the family: Transfer RNA (tRNA) molecules are approximately 80 nucleotides in length. Lineage: Bacteria; Bacillati; Cyanobacteriota; Cyanophyceae; Synechococcales; Prochlorococcaceae. RNAcentral also lists the same sequence under 14 other names. The record is from RNAcentral.